This 263-nucleotide ribosomal RNA is filed under the name uncultured bacterium. Its description in RNAcentral is "partial 16S ribosomal RNA". It matches the Rfam family "Bacterial small subunit ribosomal RNA", at positions 793 to 1055 of the family's 1533-position model. The record is from RNAcentral.
GUCCACGCCGUAAACGAUGGAAGCUAGCCGUCAGGUUGCAUGCAAUUUGGUGGCGCAGUUAACGCAUUAAGCUUCCCGCCUGGGGAGUACGGUCGCAAGAUUAAAACUCAAAGGAAUUGACGGGGGCCCCGCACAAGCGGUGGAGCAUGUGGUUUAAUUCGAAGCAACGCGCAGAACCUUACCAGCCCUUGACAUUUGGUGCUACAUCCAGAGAUGGAUGGUUCUCUUCGGAGACGCCAGGACAGGUGCUGCAUGGCUGUCGU